Molecule: ribosomal RNA, 460 nt
Filed under: uncultured bacterium
Lineage: Bacteria
Description: partial 16S ribosomal RNA
Rfam family: Bacterial small subunit ribosomal RNA
Source: RNAcentral
CCUACGGGGUGCAGCAGUGAGGAAUAUUGGUCAAUGGACGAGAGUCUGAACCAGCCAAGUAGCGUGAAGGAUGACUGCUCUAUGGGUUGUAAACUUCUUUUAUAUGGGAAUAAAAUGUUCCACGUGUGGGAUUUUGUAUGUACCAUAUGAAUAAGGAUCGGCUAACUCCGUGCCAGCAGCCGCGGUAAUACGGAGGAUCCGAGCGUUAUCCGGAUUGAUUGGGUUUAAGGGGAGCGUAGGUGGAUUGUUAAGUCAGUUGUGAAAGUUUGCGGCUCAACCGUAAAAUUGCAGUUGAAACUGGCAGUCUUGAGUACAGUAGAGGUGGGCGGAAUUCGUGGUGUAGCGGUGAAAUGCUUAGAUAUCACGAAGAACUCCGAUUGCGAAGGCAGCUCACUGGACUGCAACUGACACUGAGGCUCGAAAGUGUGGGUAUCAAACAGGAUUAGAUACCCUUGUAGUC